Molecule: long non-coding RNA, 3214 nt
Organism: Marmota monax (woodchuck)
Lineage: Eukaryota; Metazoa; Chordata; Mammalia; Rodentia; Sciuridae
Exons: 2
Source: RefSeq, a predicted model, not a curated record
AUUACUUAUUUCUUUCAACAGCUGCUAAGGGAGCGGGAGGUGGGAAUCCCUCCUGAGCAGUCACUGGAGACAGCAAAAGCCAUUAAGGAGAAAUACUGUUACAUUUGCCCUGAUAUAGUCAAGGAGUUUGCUAAGUAUGAUGUGGAUUCCCGGAAGUGGAUCAAACAAUACACGGGUAUCAACGCAAUCAACCAGAAGAAGUUUGUUAUAGUUGUUGGGUAUGAGAGGUUCCUGGGACCUGAAGUAUUCUUUCACCCAGAGUUUGCCAACCCAGACUUCAUGGAGUCCAUCUCAGAUGUUGUUGACUCGGAUGUUGUUGAUGAAGUAAUACAGAACUGUCCCGUUGAUGUCCGUCGCCCGCUGUAUAAGAAUGUCGUGUUUCAGGAGGCUCGACAAUGUUCAGGGAUUUUGGACGUCUGCUAAGAGCCACAGCUGAGUCGGGAGAACAGCAGCCGAUUUGGAUUCAAGAGAGAUUAACCAAAGUGAUUUCUACAGACCAAAAAGAAGAUGAUUUGACUCAAAUCCAUAACAGCUGAUAUCCAGAGCUCCAGCUUGGCUAUUCUUACAUCUGCGACAGUGAUUAACCAGGAUGCUUUUUUCAAUAUCUAUUUUAUUAUUGCCUUUUCCCACAUCAUAAAGUUCUAUUUUAUUUUUUGAUCUCAUACAGACCUAGGUUAAUGUUUUUCUGAUCAGUUUUACUUUUUGACUGUGGAGUUUUUAAACAUUGCAAUGGAGAUUUCACCUGUGUAAAGCUACAAGGCUUUUAUUAUUGUCUUAUGUGUUGUAUGUUUGUGUGCACACUUGUGUUUUGUGUUGUAUGUCUGUGUGUGUGUAUGUCCAUAUAUCAUAUAUAAGGAGCACUCAUGAAAAAAUGGAUCCGAAUUUAUUUUUAUUCAUGUGAUUUUAAUGGUUUAAUUUAAAUUGGGUAAACAGCUGUUGAGGAUUGUUUUAAUAUGUGAACAAAUAAGGAGGUUAACAGAUCUGUUUGUUUACUUUCACCUUUCCUUUUCAUUAUAUUUAAUAAUUCUGUUCAGGAUAAUGUAAAUUGUUCAGAAAAUUGUUUUUUUAGUACCUGUUGGAAUGUUACAUAAUUUUUUUUUUAGCAUCAUUGCCAGAAUUCCUUUCUUCAUCCCAUUGCUGGUGAAGACAAAGAUAAAACCAAACUACAGCUUCUUCGAUAGUUAUCACAACAAACUGUAUAAACUGAUGCAUGAAUGAAUAAUAACUCAACAAGUAAUGCUCAAUCAAGGAAUCGAUUUACUUUGGGAGGAAAUGGACAUAUUCAUAGAUUUCUCUGCUUUGAACCGCUUGCAGAACUUGCCUGGACUAUGUAUCACUUGUAUACAUUGUGAACUAUCUGUUGGUGCAGCGAAUUGUGGUAAUGCUGGAGUAUCUUUGCUGGUGGUGUCACCGGUGGUACAAUUUUUCAAAGGAGCCAUCAAUUGGCUUAGUGUCAUGGCAUUUCUGUAUCCUCCUCCCUUCUGCUAGUGAUGGUCUAAAAUUUGGGGACCAGCAGAGGUGAGGCAAAGAACCUCACCCCCCCAGUGGCACCAAGGCCAAAUUUGGGGGUCAACAGAGGUGAGGCAAAGAACCUCACCCCCCCACUGGUACAAAGGCCUUUCCACAAGUAUGGCUGUGUGCUGGACCGGUAGUCAGUGACGGGUAUGAUCCAAUUGCAGUGGUACCAACCUAAGACAGGAGGCUGACGCCUAGAGGUCAGCUCAUCCGAUGACGGGUAAGGACCAUAUGUUGUAUUGGACAACCUAACAGGCACGGUCCCUAAGCUACAUUGCUUGUUGUUUAAUUAAACAGAAUGGGGGCGAUGCUGAGAGCCACAGCCGAGUCGGUAUGGCCCCUGGCAUUUUGCCAACAGUGUUGGUUGACAGGCGAGGCAUUACUCUCUGCCUCAGCUGCGACUUUGGAGUUCUUGCAUUACUUUGGAGUUCUUGUGGGGAUUCCCGGGGAUUCCUGGAGUGUUCCCAUUGGUUGGGGAAGUGCAGGAGGAGGGAUUUCUGGAGGGGAUAUUUCUGGUUGCUGGUUCAUGGAGGAGUCACUUGGCGGUCGGCAGAUUUCCCAGGAGCGUGUGUGAAGUGUGCUGGUAGAGUUCAGAAAUAAAGUUUGUUCCUGCUUCAGUGGCUCGUGAUUUGUGCUCAGCCAGACUGUGGCAGACGUCGACUGCAGAGAGAUUUAAAAAGAGUGGUGGAUGCCAGAUUAAAAUUUAGCGAAGAGCUCAGCGGCGGCAGAAUAAAGCCCAAGCCCGUGGAGAUGCAGGUGAUAACACAUCACAUGCAGCGCUACGCUGUGUGGUUUGGAGGCUGGAUGCUGGCCUCCACGCCUGAUUUCUUUCAGGUCUGUCACACCAAGAAGGACUAUGAGGAGUACGGCUCCAGCAUCUGCCGCCACAACCCCGUCUUCGGAGUCAUGUCUAGGUGUCUGCCUUGAAGUCACAUUCCAUAGUGUCAUGUUGGGAACGAGUGUCCUCAGAGCCCAGAGAAGACUGCAGCUCCUGUACAGGCGACGCUUAGUGUGGGGUCCCGCCGCGAGCUGGCAGUGCCCAGUGUACGAGGCACCGUGCUGUCUUCACGAAGCCAUUCUUGACGUGCUGGCGGCGAUCUGCCCUUCUGCCUCUCUCCCUCUCUGCCCCCCCCAUCUGAGCUUCUAGUCAACAAAUACAAUUCUGAAGGAAUUCAAAUGCAACUUUAAAAAUUAUUAGAGAAAAAAAUGGUGUGAAAUAGUCCCCCCCUGGAAAUAUCGUGGGGACGUAAACACUGAUCCUCCCAGCUUAUUUUUUUAAAUAAAACUUUAUAAACUUGAAAUACAAAUCGAUGUUUAUAUUUCCUAUCAUUUUGUAUUUUAUGGUAUUUGGUACAACUGGCUGGUACUAAGCACGAGUAGAUAUUGAUGUCAUGGAGUGCUGUAAUAAAGUUUUUAAUUAUGGGGCAUGUUCCGAUAUGUUUAUAGGCAAACAGAAUAAAGGGAAGACUUUUUGCCACAUGUUUAGUAGAAAAUGAUACACUUUCCUGGGGUGAUGUGAAGUCUGAACACUAAACAGUGUUGUGUGAGAGUCAUCAUGGGUACUGUGUCUGUUAGUUGUUUUGUUUGAGCUUUCUGGAAUUGUUUUAUAGAAGAUGAUGGUUCGAUGUUGGUGAGUGUUGGAUGAAAUGCUACCUUGCACCUUGUAAUAAAAGCUGUUAGAAUCUUUAUAAAUAAAAAA